GCACAAGCGGUGGAGCAUGUGGUUUAAUUCGAAGCAACGCGAAGAACCUUACCAAAUCUUGACAUCCUCUGACCCCUCUAGAGAUAGAGUUUUCCCCUUCGGGGGACAGAGUGACAGGUGGUGCAUGGUUGUCGUCAGCUCGUGUCGUGAGAUGUUGGGUUAAGUCCCGCAACGAGCGCAACCCUUAAGCUUAGUUGCCAUCAUUAAGUUGGGCACUCUAAGUUGACUGCCGGUGACAGACCGGAGGAAGGUGGGGAUGACGUCAAAUCAUCAUGCCCCUUAUGAUUUGGGCUACACACGUGCUACAAUGGACAAUACAAAGGGUAGCGAAACCGCGAGGUCAAGCAAAUCCCAUAAAGUUGUUCUCAGUUCGGAUUGUAGUCUGCAACUCGACUAUAUGAAGCUGGAAUCGCUAGUAAUCGUAGAUCAGCAUGCUACGGUGAAUACGUUCCCGGGC
This 457-nucleotide ribosomal RNA is filed under the name uncultured bacterium. Its description in RNAcentral is "bacterial SSU rRNA". It matches the Rfam family "Bacterial small subunit ribosomal RNA", at positions 923 to 1379 of the family's 1533-position model. The record is from RNAcentral.